AUUGAACGCUGGCGGCAGGCCUAACACAUGCAAGUCGAACGGUAACAGAAAGCAGCUUGCUGCUUUGCUGACGAGUGGCGGACGGGUGAGUAAUGUCUGGGAAACUGCCUGAUGGAGGGGGAUAACUACUGGAAACGGUAGCUAAUACCGCAUAACGUCGCAAGACCAAAGAGGGGGACCUUCGGGCCUCUUGCCAUCGGAUGUGCCCAGAUGGGAUUAGCUAGUAGGUGGGGUAAAGGCUCACCUAGGCGACGAUCCCUAGCUGGUCUGAGAGGAUGACCAGCCACACUGGAACUGAGACACGGUCCAGACUCCUACGGGAGGCAGCAGUGGGGAAUAUUGCACAAAGGGCGCAAGCCUGAUGCAGCCAUGCCGCGUGUGUGAAGAAGGCCUUCGGGUUGUAAAGUACUUUCAGCGGGGAGGAAGGGAGUAAAGUUAAUACCUUUGCUCAUUGACGUUACCCGCAGAAGAAGCACCGGCUAACUCCGUG
Molecule: ribosomal RNA, 490 nt
Filed under: uncultured bacterium
Lineage: Bacteria
Description: partial 16S ribosomal RNA
Rfam family: Bacterial small subunit ribosomal RNA
Source: RNAcentral